RNAcentral lists this small RNA (28 nucleotides) under Bombyx mori (domestic silkworm). RNAcentral describes it as "piRNA piR-bmo-2124395". The record is from RNAcentral. Lineage: Eukaryota; Metazoa; Arthropoda; Insecta; Lepidoptera; Bombycidae.
UUGAAAUGUUUGCAUGUGACGCGCUCUU